RNAcentral lists this ribosomal RNA (499 nucleotides) under uncultured bacterium. Its description in RNAcentral is "bacterial SSU rRNA". It matches the Rfam family "Bacterial small subunit ribosomal RNA", at positions 36 to 524 of the family's 1533-position model. The record is from RNAcentral.
CUGGCGGCAUGCUUUCCGAUGCGAGUCCGACAGCAGCACACAGAAGCUUGCUUCUUGGGAGGCGAGUGGCGAACGGGUGAGUAACAUAUCGGAACGUACCGAGUAGUGGGGGAUAACUACUCGAAAGAUUAGCUAAUACCGCCUACGUCUUGAGAGAGAAAGCAGGGGAUCUUCUGACCUUGCGCUAUUCGAGCGGCCGAUAUCUGAUUAGCUAGUUGGUGGGGUAAAGGCCUACCAAGGCGACUAUCAGUAGCGGGUCUGAGAGGAUGAUCCGCCACACUGGGACUGAGACACGGCCCAUACUCCUACGGGAGGCAGCAGUGAGGAAUUUUGGACAAUGGGCGCAAGCCUGAUCCAGCCAUGCCGCGUGUCUGAAGAAGGCCUUCGGGUAGUAAAGGACUUUUGUCAGGGAAGAAAAGGCUGGUGCUAAUAUCGCUGACUGAUGACGGUACCUGAAGAAUAAUCACCGGCUAACUACAUGCCAGCCAGCCGCGGUAAU